AUUGAACGCUGGCGGCAUGCCUUACACAUGCAAGUCGAACGGCAGCACGGGGGCAACCCUGGUGGCGAGUGGCGAACGGGUGAGUAACAUAUCGGAACAUACCCUAGAGUGGGGGAUAACGUAGCGAAAGUUACGCUAAUACCGCAUACGAUCUAAGGAUGAAAGUGGGGGAUCUUCGGACCUCAUGCUCAUGGAGUGGCCGAUAUCUGAUUAGCUAGUUGGUGAGGUAAAGGCUCACCAAGGCGACGAUCAGUAGCUGGUUUGAGAGAACGACCAGCCACACUGGAACUGAGACACGGUCCAGACUCCUACGGGAGGCAGCAGUGGGGAAUUUUGGACAAUGGGGGCAACCCUGAUCCAGCAAUGCCGCGUGAGUGAAGAAGGCCUCGGUU
RNAcentral lists this ribosomal RNA (392 nucleotides) under uncultured bacterium. RNAcentral's name for it is "bacterial SSU rRNA". It matches the Rfam family "Bacterial small subunit ribosomal RNA", at positions 30 to 424 of the family's 1533-position model. The record is from RNAcentral.